UCCAGGUGAAGCUACAGGAGUUUCAUUAACGUCAAUAACUUGGACCGAACACUUUGUUUUGCUUGAUGAACACUGAAAGAAUUUUGAUCAAUCAUGCUUCCCUGCUGUGAUUGUUUAACUGGGAAAACAACUUUUUCCACAGGAAGGCAAGUCAAUUUAAGGAAUACAUGUUCAAAGUUUUCCUCUGUUAUGUAUAAUGAUGACCCCCAUCAAACAUAAUGUUAGCAAUCUUUACACCUUUUAAUUUAUUCUGAUUAUUUCUGUCUACAUGUGUGAAUUUGCCUUCAUUAGUUUCAGAAAAGAGCGAUGAUGUAUCGGUCACGGGGCGGCAGCACGAGACUCCGCAAACUAGGCUGUAAGCAAAGUAGACGAAGGCAUCAAGGUUGCGGCCUGCCAUCAUUGUUAUUUUGCUUAAGGGACUGAAUAUGUAUCAUGUAGAAAUAUUAGCAUUUCCCUUAUAUUUACCAAAACUGCUGUUAAACAGACUGCACUUUUGUUUUGGUCCGAUGUGGUGUGCAAAUACAACCGUAUCGGCAAUGGGUUGUGGGGCAUUAACAUUUGUAACUCUAAUUUUGUUUUGACAGACUGUGAAAUGAACGUUGAGAACAUCACCAUUCUACAGGAAGACACAGUCCAGUAAUGGGUGUCAGAAGUUCAGUAGUGAACGACAGGAAGGACUGAUGCAUGUACUGAGACGGGACGUGAGGGCCUACUCUGCGUGCUCAGAGUUCAAGCCCAGCAGGCUGCAGCGGGCCUGACAUAUUCCGGAACAGCAGCACAGUCUUUGGAUGACUCCUCUGAAGAUGAAAACAUGGCGAGUUAUUCUCAAGAGAAGCAGUACAGGUGUGCCUCAUCUCCAUGGUCCCUCCUGCAGCCUCCGCUCCUGAUGCUAACCUCAUGUCUCCAUCACACCAAGCAGCAGACCUGGAGUGACAGACCUUUCUCCAGAGCUGCCCCCUCCCUCUGAAACCCCCCUCUCCAAAACACUAUUUGUGGCAAGUCUUAUUUGCAUGAGAAUUGUUGAUCAUAACAUUUCCAGCAGAUGCCUUAAUGUAAUGUUUGUGAACA
Platichthys flesus (European flounder) is the source of this 1068-nucleotide long non-coding RNA. RefSeq lists it as uncharacterized. The transcript is spliced from 3 exons. The record is from RefSeq and is a predicted model, not a curated record. Lineage: Eukaryota; Metazoa; Chordata; Actinopteri; Pleuronectiformes; Pleuronectidae.